Molecule: ribosomal RNA, 222 nt
Filed under: uncultured bacterium
Lineage: Bacteria
Description: partial 16S ribosomal RNA
Rfam family: Bacterial small subunit ribosomal RNA
Source: RNAcentral
GAUCCUGGCUCAGGAUGAACGCUGGCGGCGUGCUUAACACAUGCAAGUCGAGCGAAGCGCUUAAGUUUGAUUCUUCGGAUGAAGACUUUUGUGACUGAGCGGCGGACGGGUGAGUAACGCGUGGGUAACCUGCCUCAUACAGGGGGAUAGCAGCUGGAAACGGCUGAUAAAACCGCAUAAGCGCACAGCAUCGCAUGAUGCAGUGUGAAAAACUCCGGUGGU